RNAcentral lists this ribosomal RNA (468 nucleotides) under uncultured bacterium. RNAcentral's name for it is "partial 16S ribosomal RNA". It matches the Rfam family "Bacterial small subunit ribosomal RNA", at positions 28 to 507 of the family's 1533-position model. The record is from RNAcentral.
GACGAACGCUGGCGGCGUGCUUAACACAUGCAAGUCGAACGGAAAGGCCCUGCUUUUGUGGGGUGCUCGAGUGGCGAACGGGUGAGUAACACGUGAGUAACCUGCCCUUGACUUUGGGAUAACUUCAGGAAACUGGGGCUAAUACCGGAUAGGAGCUCCUGCUGCAUGGUGGGGGUUGGAAAGUUUCGGCGGUUGGGGAUGGACUCGCGGCUUAUCAGCUUGUUGGUGGGGUAGUGGCUUACCAAGGCUUUGACGGGUAGCCGGCCUGAGAGGGGGACCGGCCACAUUGGGACUGAGAUACGGCCCAGACUCCUACGGGAGGCAGCAGUGGGGAAUAUUGCACAGUGGGCGGAAGCCUGAUGCAGCAACGCCGCGUGCGGGAUGACGGCCUUCGGGUUGUAAACCGCUUUCGCCUGUGACGAAGCGUGAGUGACGGUAAUGGGUAAAGAAGCACCGGCUAACUACGUG